Molecule: ribosomal RNA, 254 nt
Filed under: uncultured bacterium
Lineage: Bacteria
Description: partial 16S ribosomal RNA
Rfam family: Bacterial small subunit ribosomal RNA
Source: RNAcentral
CGGAGGGUGCAAGCGUUAUCCGGAUUUAUUGGGUUUAAAGGGUCCGCAGGCGGACCUGUAAGUCAGGGGUGAAAGCCGGCAGCUUAACUGUCGAACUGCCUUUGAAACUGCAGGUCUUGAGUGAAAUUGAAGUAGCUGGAAUGAGUAGCGUAGCGGUGAAAUGCUUAGAUAUUACUCAGAACACCAAUAGCGAAGGCAGGUUACUAAAUUUCAACUGACGCUGAGGGACGAAAGCGUGGGGAGCGAACAGGAUU